UGGGGAAUAUUGCGCAAUGGGGGGAACCCUGACGCAGCCAUGCCGCGUGAAUGAAGAAGGCCUUCGGGUUGUAAAGUUCUUUCGGUAUUGAGGAAGGAGUGUAUGUUAAUAGCAUACAUUAUUGACGUUAAAUACAGAAGAAGCACCGGCUAACUCCGUGCCAGCAGCCGCGGUAAUACGGAGGGUGCGAGCGUUAAUCGGAAUAACUGGGCGUAAAGGGCACGCAGGCGGUUAUUUAAGUGAGGUGUGAAAGCCCCGGGCUUAACCUGGGAAUUGCAUUUCAGACUGGGUAACUAGAGUACUUUAGGGAGGGGUAGAAUUCCACGUGUAGCGGUGAAAUGCGUAGAGAUGUGGAGGAAUACCGAAGGCGAAGGCAGCCCCUUGGGAAUGUACUGACGCUCAUGUGCGAAAGCGUGGGGAGCAAACAGGAUUAGAUACCCUGGUAGUCCACGCUGUAAACGCUGUCGAUUUGGGGAUUGGGCUUAAAGCUUGGUGCCCGUAGCUAACGUGAUAAAUCGACCGCCUGGGGAGUACGGCCGCAAGGUUA
Molecule: ribosomal RNA, 547 nt
Filed under: uncultured bacterium
Lineage: Bacteria
Description: bacterial SSU rRNA
Rfam family: Bacterial small subunit ribosomal RNA
Source: RNAcentral